AAUUAAAAAAAAGAUAAAAAUGAAAGACUGGUGCAUUGUGCAGUUCAGCACUGGUGGUACACAAAUAGUCCCUAGUUCAUGGAUAAAUGGGGAGAAAUUGUCAUGGCCUCAUAUCCUCCGCGAGACACAUUCAGGAUCCAUGCCGCAGUAAAGAGGAGAGUUCAUCCUGGUGCAACAUGCCUCACCUAUGCACCAGUCCGGCUUCUCAUAAGCCAUGACACAUUUCACGAAGCAGAACGCAGUCUCCAGAAAUAUCUACGUGAACACUGUGAUACGUCUGACCUUCAGUCCGAACCAGAAACACAGACCAGUCAUAAAAGAAAGCACAAACCAAAUCCCCUGUACACGUAUACUGACUCAGAGGAUGAGCAGC
This is a long non-coding RNA of Oreochromis niloticus (Nile tilapia), 373 nucleotides long. RefSeq lists it as uncharacterized. The record is from RefSeq and is a predicted model, not a curated record. Lineage: Eukaryota; Metazoa; Chordata; Actinopteri; Cichliformes; Cichlidae. The transcript has 3 exons.